Long non-coding RNA from Drosophila miranda, 584 nucleotides. RefSeq lists it as uncharacterized. The transcript has 2 exons. Lineage: Eukaryota; Metazoa; Arthropoda; Insecta; Diptera; Drosophilidae. The record is from RefSeq and is a predicted model, not a curated record.
CAUGGGUCAAGUUCAAUACAAGCAAACACACACAGACACAAGCGCAAAAUUAUUAGAACCACUAAUAAUUAAUGUGCAUGUGCAUGCAAAUGUAUUAUACCAUGAACCAAAUGUUAAAAAAAAGUGACGCUUCUUUUUCACUGAUUUGUUGAGAUAUCGAUAGAAUUAAGGAACCGAAUGGAUUAUUUAUUCGAUUAUAUCGAAAGUGUGACCAGACACACAAGACAAGCAAUGGCUUAAUUAUUGAUUUAGUUAUAGAAUGGAACUACAAUUGUUUUUUAUUCGUAUAAAUGUAAAUCUAACUUUAUUCUUUCUCCAAAAUGGCUUACAAAUUUACAUAUAUGGCAAAUAUAAUUUUAAUUAUCCGGCAGUAGCUGAAGAUCCGCUGGGAAUUUUUUUUGCAAGAAGAUUACAGAGGCUGUUCGAAUCAAUCCGAAUAUCCACCUGUUAGCCAAUGGAGCUACGAUGCCUCUUAUUCGUAUAUUUAUAAAACUUUUUCCUUUUUCCAAAAUGGGUUAAAGAUUGAUAUUGAACAUGGUUCUUUCAUUUUCAAGGAAGAACUGACGAGGACCCUGAAGAGAGUC